CCUACGGGUGGCAGCAGUGAGGAAUAUUGGUCAAUGGACGCAAGUCUGAACCAGCCAUGCCGCGUGCAGGAUGACGGCUCUGUGUAUCGUAAACUGCUUUUGUCCGGGGAUAAUGACAGGGACGUGUCUCUGGUUGAGAGUAUCGGACGAAUAAGGAUCGGCUAACUCCGUGCCAGCAGCCGCGGUAAUACGGAGGAUCCAAGCGUUAUCCGGAUUUAUUGGGUUUAAAGGGUGCGUAGGCGGUUUGAUAAGUUAGAGGUGAAAAUUCGGGGCUCAACCCCGGCCGUGCCUCUAAUACUGUAUGACUAGAGAAGGGGUGCGGUAGGCGGAAUGGACGGUGUAGCGGUGAAAUGCGUAGAGAUCAUACAGAACUCCGAUUGCGAAGGCAGCUUACC
RNAcentral lists this ribosomal RNA (395 nucleotides) under uncultured bacterium. RNAcentral's name for it is "partial 16S ribosomal RNA". It matches the Rfam family "Bacterial small subunit ribosomal RNA", at positions 338 to 730 of the family's 1533-position model. The record is from RNAcentral.